GAAAAGCUCGAAGCUAACAUCUUCGGGUCUUGACCUAACCUACAGAAAAAGCACCGGCUAACUCUGUGCCAGCAGCCGCGGUAAUACAGAGGGUGCGAGCGUUAAUCGGAAUUACUGGGCGUAAAGCGCGCGUAGGCGGUUUUGUAAGUCGGAUGUGAAAGCCCCAGGCUUAACCUGGGAACUGCAUUCGAGACUGCAUGACUGGAGUAUGGGAGAGGGCAGUGGAAUUUCCGGUGUAGCGGUGAAAUGCGUAGAUAUCGGAAGGAACAUCAGUGGCGAAAGCGACUGCCUGGCCCAAUACUGACGCUCAUGUGCGAAAGCGUGGGGAGCAAACAGGAUUAGAUACCCUGGUAGUCCACGCCAUAAACGAUGACAACUAGACGUCGGGAGGAUUUGCCUCACGGUGUCGCAGCUAACGCGUUAAGUUGUCCGCCUGGGGAGUACGGCCGCAAGGUUGAAGCUCAAAGGAAUUGACGGGGACCCGCACAAGCGGUGGAGCAUGUGGUUUAAUUCGAUGCAACGCGAAGAACCUUACCUGGCCUUGACAUGUCUGGAAGACCGCAGAGAUGUGGUUGUGCCCGAAAGGGAACCAGAACACAGGUGCUGCAUGGCUGUCGUCA
RNAcentral lists this ribosomal RNA (620 nucleotides) under uncultured bacterium. Its description in RNAcentral is "bacterial SSU rRNA". It matches the Rfam family "Bacterial small subunit ribosomal RNA", at positions 447 to 1057 of the family's 1533-position model. The record is from RNAcentral.